GCAAGUCGAGGGGUAACAUUGUAGAUUGUUACAGAUGACGACCGGCGCACGGGUGAGUAACGCGUAUGCAACCUACCUUGUACAGGAGGAUAGCCCAGAGAAAUCUGGAUUAAUACCGCAUAAUAUGAUUGAUUCGCAUGAAUUUAUUAUUAAAUUUUCGGAGGUACAAGAUGGGCAUGCGUGGCAUUAGUUAGUUGGUGAGGUAAUGGCUUACCAAGACGAUGAUGCCUAGGGGGUCUGAGAGGAUAGUC
This 251-nucleotide ribosomal RNA is filed under the name uncultured bacterium. RNAcentral's name for it is "partial 16S ribosomal RNA". It matches the Rfam family "Bacterial small subunit ribosomal RNA", at positions 57 to 305 of the family's 1533-position model. The record is from RNAcentral.